Heterocephalus glaber (naked mole-rat) is the source of this 3083-nucleotide RNA transcript. It is a transcript of the gene named two pore segment channel 2, with no coding region annotated. NCBI's taxonomy places the organism in Eukaryota, Metazoa, Chordata, Mammalia, Rodentia, Bathyergidae. The record is from RefSeq and is a predicted model, not a curated record.
UCCUCCCGGUCCAGCCGCACGCCUGCGCAGUGAAGCUGGAUGCUCGCGGGUCGGGUUCCUCUCCUGGGUCUCGUGUGGUGCCGAGCGACCCGAUGUCGGAGCCCCAGGCCGAGUCGGAACCCCUGCUGGGCCGGGCCCGUGGAGGCAGCGACCACGACUGCUCUGAGGGGCUGCUGGCUUCCAGCAGCGUCCAAGUCGACUCCGGUGCCAUGGCCAGGCAGGACCUCUGCAUCGACCAGGCUGUGGUCUUCAUCGAAGAUGCUAUUCAGUGGGACAGGGGGCAUCCUGGGGAAUGACACUGUUGUGCUGGAGAUGAGGGGCCACCCUUGCAUGGAGGAGAAGAGAGCCUCACAGAGGCACAGCUGUGUGUUCUGCAAACACAGCUCCUUCUGGACCCCGUGCCUGACCUUUGGGAAGUGCUUGGUCUGCUGGUACCGCUCUAUCUUCCAUCGCAUGGAUGCCCGCUCGAUGUGUCUUUACCGAUGGUAUUACUCGAACCUGUGCCAACGGACUCUGAGCUUUACCAUCUUCUUGAUCCUGUUUUUGGCUUUUAUCGAGACCCCAUCCUCGCUCACGAGGACUGCAGAUGUGCGUUAUCGCUCCCUGCCCUGGGAGCCACCCUGCGGCCUGAUGGAGGGCGUGGAGCUGCUCUGCCUGCUGGUCUUUGUGGCCGAUGUCUCUGUGAAGGGCUAUCUGGUCGGUUGGUCCCAGUUCCAGAGGAACCUCUGGCUGCUGGCCUACCUCACAGUGCUGGUCGUGUCCCUGGUGGACUGGACUGUGUCCCUGAGUCUUCUUUGUCAGGAGCCGCUGCGCAUGCGCCGCCUCCUGCGCCCCUUCUUCCUGCUGCAGAACUCCUCCAUGAUGAAGAAGACCUUGAAGUGCAUCCGGUCGUCACUGCCGGACAUGGCCAGCGUCGGGCUGUUGCUGGCCAUUCACCUGUGCCUCUUUACAACGUUUGGGAUGCUGCUGUUCACCGUCGGCGAGAAGGAUAUGGAGCCGAACAGGGAGAGACUGGCCUACUUUCGGAGUCUGCCAGAGGCUCUGACCUCCCUCCUGGUGCUGCUGACCACCGCCAACAACCCUGAUGUGAUGAUUCCUGCGUAUUCCAAGAACCGGGCCUACGCCAUCUUCUUCGUAGUCUUCACCAUGAUAGGAAGUCUAUUUCUCAUGAACCUGCUCACCGCCAUCAUCUAUAACCAGUUCCGCGGCUACCUGAUGAAAUCUCUGCAGACCUCACUGUUCCGGCGUCGGCUGGGCACCCGAGCUGCCUAUGAAGUCCUCUCCUCCAGGCUGGGGCAGGCGGGAGCCACUCCUGAGGCAGUUGGGGUGAAACCUCAGAACUUCCUGCAGGUGCUUCAGAAAGUGCAGAUGACCAAUUCUCACAAACAGGCCAUCAUGGAGAAGGUGCACUCCUACAAUGAUACCCUGCUGUCAGCCGACGAGUUCCAGAAGGUCUUCGACGAACUUGACAAAAGUGUGAUCAAAGAGCACCCGCUGAAGCCCCAGUACCAGUCUCCGUUUCUCCAGACUGCCCAGUUCCUCUUCAGCCACUACUACUUCGACUACCUGGGGAACAUCAUCGCCCUGGGCAACCUUGUGUCCAUUUGCGUGUUCCUGGUGCAGGAUGCUGAUGUGCUGCCCAGGAACCGCGAUGACUUUGUCCUGGGGAUCCUGGACUGCAUCUUCAUCCUGUACUACGUGCUGGAGCUGCUGCUCAAGGUCUUCGCUCUGGGCCCGUGGGGCUACCUGUCCUACCCCAGCAAUGUGUGUGACGGCCUCCUGACCUCCAUCCUGUUGGUUUUAGAGAUCUCUACUCUGGCUGUGUACGGAUUCCCACACCCACGGUGGAAGCCGGAGACGCUGGGCCUGCUGUCCCUGUGGGACAUGACGAGGCUGGUGAACAUGCUCAUCGUGUUCCGGUUCCUGCGCAUCAUACCCAACAUGAAGCCCAUGGCCAUGGUGGUCAGUACCGUCCUGGGCCUGGUCCAGAACCUUCGGGCCUUUGGUGGGAUCCUGGUGGUGGUAUACUACGUGUUCGCUAUCGUGGGGAUCAGCCUGUUCCGAGGCACCAUUGUGGCUCCCUUUGGAAACAGCAGCCUGGCCCCUGCCAAUGGUUCUGCAUCCUGUGGGAGCUUUGAGCAGCUGGAGUACUGGGCCAACAACUUCGAUGACUUUGCGGCUGCCCUGGUCACUCUGUGGAAUGUGAUGGUGGUGAACAACUGGCAGGUGAUCCUGGAUGCGUAUGAACGCUACGUGGGCCCGUGGUCCAAGAUCUACUUUGUGCUGUGGUGGCUUGUGUCAUCCGUCAUAUGGGUCAACCUCUUUCUGGCUCUGCUCCUGGAGAACUUCCUCCACAGAUGGGACCCCCAAAAUCAUGAGCAGCCCCCUGCUGGGAGCGUGGAGGCUGCAUACCAGAUGUCGGAGGAGCUCAUGUUCAGGGACAUUCUGGAGGAGCCCAGGGAGGAGGAGCUGACAGAGAAGCUGUGUCGUCACCCCCACCUGUGGCUGUGCAGGUGACAUCCUGAUGGCCUUCGAGAUCUGGGACCGAUGCAUUGUGGAAGAGGCAGCUGCUCACAGCCAGGCAGAGAGGACUGUGCCUUUGACAGACCUCAUCUCGGGACAGGCGGAGAUGGGAUGGGGACAGUCACCGUCACCGCCAGGUUCUCCCUAUAGCUUGGAUGGGACAGUGCUCCAGGGGACCUUGUGGCGUGCUGCUCUCUUCUGUAAGCUGCUUCCGGGAGAUGAGAUGGUGACUUCACAGAGACCUUGAAGACAGCCUGGAAAGUGAAAAGCAGUGGCCUUCUCCUCGGGCCCUGCAGCUUCCAUGCAACCUUCGCUGCUGGUGGCCUUUAGGGACCAGAGCCCUGCACCGGGCCUGCACAGGGAGGCUCUCACAGAGACAUGACCUGCCUGGAUGAGCAAGUCAGCCUUGCCUUGGAGGAUCAAGUCUCCUGAAUGGCGUCCCCACCUGGAGAAGCUCCUCAAGGUGCCAUGUCCCUGGUGGACACCAGAAGCAGAAGCAGCCCCACGUGUAGUGCCUGGUAUGUAGCAGAUGCUCAAUAAAUGUUUGUAGUACAAAUGAA